AUGUAGCCCCGAUAGAACUGGAAAUCCUUUUGUUUGCGCCCCGGCGGAUACAAAAGAUUGUAAGGGAUAGCGGGACAAAAG
Molecule: small RNA, 81 nt
Filed under: Flavobacterium araucananum
Lineage: Bacteria; Pseudomonadati; Bacteroidota; Flavobacteriia; Flavobacteriales; Flavobacteriaceae
Description: Flavo-1 RNA
Rfam family: Flavo-1 RNA
Source: RNAcentral